CUCCCAGUGUCUCCUCUCUCCAGGCUGAGCAUCCCCAACCCCACUUGCCCAGCAGUCAGUCACAUCAGGGCCAGUCAAGGCUGCAGGGUAGCAAAUAGCAUCAGGAACUGAGAGAUGCAAGCUUUAGACCCCGGUUUGCCUCUAAAUGUUUUUCUGUUUGAAAGGAAGCUUGGCACAAUGUCCAUUGUCUUCUCCAUUUGUGAAACACUAAGUGGAGUGUGGGCAGGCUGAUACGCAGAGCAAAACCUGAAAAUAUACUAGUGAUCCUGAGCCUGGGGGAUGCAGCUAAACCCAGCCAAAAGUAAUUUCUGGAAAGUUGAUCCUGGUUUACAUUGUCUUGAGUUUGGCUUUGCCAACUUCACCAGUCAUUUAUGAAAAAGCAAACAAAAAACUCAAACCAAAUCAGACAAAAACCCAAACAAAUAAAGAAACAAACAAACCCAUGCAAACUGAUCCAACAAAUAGAUAAAAAACCCCAAAUAAAACCAACGGAAAUGA
Passer domesticus (house sparrow) is the source of this 498-nucleotide long non-coding RNA. RefSeq lists it as uncharacterized. NCBI's taxonomy places the organism in Eukaryota, Metazoa, Chordata, Aves, Passeriformes, Passeridae. The record is from RefSeq and is a predicted model, not a curated record. The transcript is spliced from 2 exons.